RNAcentral lists this ribosomal RNA (438 nucleotides) under uncultured bacterium. RNAcentral's name for it is "bacterial SSU rRNA". It matches the Rfam family "Bacterial small subunit ribosomal RNA", at positions 74 to 507 of the family's 1533-position model. The record is from RNAcentral.
CGGGAGCAAUCCUGGUGGCGAGUGGCGAAACGGGUGAGUAAUAUAUCGGAACGUGCCCGGUCGUGGGGGAUAACGUAGCGAAAGCUACGCUAAUACCGCAUACGAUCUACGGAUGAAANCGGGGGAUCGCAAGACCUCGCGCGAUUGGAGCGGCCGAUAUCAGAUUAGGUAGUUGGUGAGGUAAAGGCUCACCAAGCCGACGAUCUGUAGCUGGUCUGAGAGGACGACCAGCCACACUGGGACUGAGACACGGCCCAGACUCCUACGGGAGGCAGCAGUGGGGAAUUUUGGACAAUGGGCGCAAGCCUGAUCCAGCAAUGCCGCGUGCAGGAUGAAGGCCUUCGGGUUGUAAACUGCUUUUGUACGGAACGAAACGGUGAGCUCUAAUACAGUUUGCUAAUGACGGUACCGUAAGAAUAAGCACUGGCUAACUACGUG